UCCAAAUAUUGUAUACAACUGCUGCAAACACCACUCCUAGAAUGGUUUUCCUUGGUUUUCUGUUGUUUACUCUAUCAGAGACCCAUUGCACCUCUAGCUCCCAGUUGUUUAUCAAUAUGUUGAAGUUCAGCCACUUUAACAAUCCUUGCCACAGUAAUUGGGAAUAAGAGCAGUUAAAGAACAGGUGGUCGUGUGUCUCUAUAGUGUCACUCCCACAUAGUGAACAAGACUGAUCAGUGUGGAUACCCCAUUUUUCUAACCUGUCAACUGUUGCCAAACGUCUAUG
RNAcentral lists this long non-coding RNA (286 nucleotides) under Nicotiana benthamiana. RNAcentral describes it as "long non-coding RNA (NBEN_LNC026069)". Lineage: Eukaryota; Viridiplantae; Streptophyta; Magnoliopsida; Solanales; Solanaceae. The record is from RNAcentral.